CGAGUAAACUUGAACAAGUGGGCUUUGCUUCUUUGACAGUUUGGAAUAUGAAAACAUGGAAAGCUAUGACAGUCCUUCCGCUUGGUGAGGAUCCUUCAGCAAUCACCUCACUAUCAUUCAAUCAUAACGGAAAAAUCUUAGCAGCCUCUGCUACUGAUGGAAUGAUUCAUAUGUUUGACAUGUCUGCUAGCCUGCAAAUAACAGGAUGGCCUGCCCAUGAUUCAGUAG
Long non-coding RNA from Ananas comosus (pineapple), 228 nucleotides. RefSeq lists it as uncharacterized. The record is from RefSeq and is a predicted model, not a curated record. The transcript has 3 exons. NCBI's taxonomy places the organism in Eukaryota, Viridiplantae, Streptophyta, Magnoliopsida, Poales, Bromeliaceae.